This 253-nucleotide ribosomal RNA is filed under the name uncultured bacterium. RNAcentral describes it as "partial 16S ribosomal RNA". It matches the Rfam family "Bacterial small subunit ribosomal RNA", at positions 524 to 776 of the family's 1533-position model. The record is from RNAcentral.
UACGUAGGGGGCCAGCGUUGUCCGGAUUUAUUGGGCGUAAAGAGCGCGCAGGCGGUCGUUCAAGUCGCGUGUGAAAGCCCCCGGCUCAACUGGGGAGGGUCACGCGAUACUGAUCGACUCGAAGGCAGGAGAGGGAAGUGGAAUUCCCGGUGUAGUGGUGAAAUGCGUAAAUAUCGGGAGGAACACCAGUGGCGAAGGCGACUUCCUGGCCUGUUCUUGGCGCUGAGGCGCGAAAGCUAGGGGAGCAAACGGG